GCUAAAAACCAGCAACGUUUCGUUCAGUUUAAGUGAGGGCUUCUCAUGAUACGAUUUCUGAAUAAUUUACGUAUGUUUCAUAUUUAAAUAAAGCUGACUUCUCAUAUCUUUCAUCAUAGAAAUAACCAUAUUGGUUUAUUUCUCUUCCUCGGGCUCUGGAAUAUUUUAUCAUAUCCUCUGCAGGUGAGACCCGCUUUGCUAACUGAGUCAUAGUAAAUUCCCACCCUACCAAUAAUUAAUUUAUGGAAGUGUUGGAUUUGUAAGAUGAUCAAAAUUUAUAUUGGUAAGCAGCAUGUACGGGCAGGAGUUUUUAUACCACAAGUGUAUAUGCCUCUCAGAAGGUUCUCUUAGAGGUUCAUCUCAACAAUAUUCGUAGGCAUUUCAACAUAUGAAGUGAAAAACCCCAAAGUUCAUGUCAACAAUUGAUUUGCAAAGGUAUUUGGUUUGUGUCAGCUUGGUUCAUGAAUAUUGCAACCAUUACACAAAGUACAUGGUGUCAUCGAACAAGAAAGAAAGCUUCUUAUGACCUCCAAAGUUUAAUAUAUAAAAAAGCGGCAGAGAGGUAACUUACUGCAGCUAUACCAUCUUGCUGUCAAAAUACUUGGCAUUAAACUGAGAACCCUCUAGCGCCAUUCCACCACCCAGGAUAGCCAAAAGCUGGUAGAUACGAAAAAAACUUGGAAAUUAUGUAUCACAGUUG
This 700-nucleotide long non-coding RNA is filed under the name Triticum aestivum (bread wheat). RNAcentral's name for it is "long non-coding RNA (TAES_LNC012696)". Lineage: Eukaryota; Viridiplantae; Streptophyta; Magnoliopsida; Poales; Poaceae. The record is from RNAcentral.